CAAAGCGAGACUCUGUCUCUAAACAAAACAAAAAACAAAAAAAAUCACAUGAAAUGCCAGUUACUGAAAUGUUGCAAUCAAAGGUCAAAACCACCAAUAUUUGCCAUUAUUGUCAGUCUGUAAUGAAGGACAUAGAGCUGACCUCUGUAAGUGAAGACCCACCCUCUCUCCCAAGGGUCCCUAAUGACUCGUUAAGGAGAUUUAACCUUUCUCCUUGCAGUUGUUCUACUUCAAAUCCAAUAAAAACCCAAACUGGAACAGGUGUGUUGGGGUGAUGCAGGCAACUUGAAGUGAAUGCUCUGCUGGAAAAGGAGGAAAACAAAUCACUAUGUACCAGCCUGUCCGAGUUUAUGAGAGGGUCCGGCUGCUGGGACGGCAGGAAGAUCUGCGAUGCUUGUCUCUGUUUGAGUGUCUGCUGCUUUCCUGCCUGGGGUUAUUGGUCGUGGCCCUGGGAAUAGCAGUCCUUCUACAUAACCCCUCUGACACCAUGGCUUUCUCUACUGGCUUAAUGACAAUAGGCAUAGGCGUUGCUUUUGUCACCUUUACUGGAGCCAUAGCCAUGCGUAGAGUCAACCAGAAUAUGCACUUUGUCAUGAGGCAAAGAUCUGGGGCCAGAAGGAGGACGGAAAAUGCCCCAAGCACUGCAGAGCCUUUACUGGAUGAGUCACCCAUAGCCAACACUUGGCUGUAACCCUAUGUCUUUGAGCCUCUGGAACUUUUAGGUCUCCUAACCAUUGCUUUUAAAUUCAAAUAAAAUUUGGCUUUUUAUUUUUUCAA
This is a long non-coding RNA of Microcebus murinus (gray mouse lemur), 777 nucleotides long. RefSeq lists it as uncharacterized. The record is from RefSeq and is a predicted model, not a curated record. Lineage: Eukaryota; Metazoa; Chordata; Mammalia; Primates; Cheirogaleidae.